Molecule: ribosomal RNA, 253 nt
Filed under: uncultured prokaryote
Description: partial 16S ribosomal RNA
Rfam family: Bacterial small subunit ribosomal RNA
Source: RNAcentral
UACGUAGGGUGCGAGCGUUAAUCGGAAUUACUGGGCGUAAAGAGUGCGUAGGCGGUCUGUGAAGUCAGAUGUGAAAGCCCCGGGCUUAACCUGGGAUGUGCGUUUGAAACUGGCAGGCUAGAGUUUGAUAGAGGGGGGUAGAAUUCCUGGUGUAGCAGUGAAAUGCGUAGAUAUCAGGAGGAAUACCGAUGGCGAAGGCAGCCCCCUGGAUUAAAACUGACGCUCAGGCACGAAAGCAUGGGGAGCAAACAGG